AAGCUUCAAAUGCUGCUGAGAGUGUUGCCGCCUGCUUGCUUGCAUUCCCAAUUCGCAGAAUGGCUGCCCAAUUCGACGACCUCUCCACGCCUGAGGGAUUGAAGAUGCUCGAUCAGUACCUCUUCACUCGCAGCUACAUUAGCGGAUGGCUUUGAGGUGCUGCCAGGGUUGCGGUAGAAGAGUCAAAGCUUAGCAUGUCUUUCGGCUGGUUUCAUUGGAUAUGGGGUUCAGAUAUCAGGUCUCUGGGGAUGACUUUGCAGUUUUUGCGAAGGUGAAGAGCGUGCCCUCGGAGUAUCAGAAUUUAGCGAGGUGGUACAAGCAUGUUGCAGAGUUGUCUGGACUUAGGUGGACGGAGGUCUGCACGAAAUUUUCGCGUCUCUCUGUCGAUGGAACGCGUUAGAGCUCUCUUGAACGAGGUGCUGAAUGCCUCGCCGUAGAUUAUGUGUUUCCUAUUAGGUUUCCAUCACUGGUUAGAUUCUUAAUUCCAAGCGUGGGAUUGUAAAUCAAGAAUGGUGCCGCUUCGGCCGCCUCCGUGCUGCACCGGCUGCUGCUGCAGCUCGUUAGACAUCAGAUGCUGAAGCCGAAACUGCUGCAUCUGUCAAUGUGAAUGACGUUGAUGAAGUCCUUGGUUCAUUCAUUGAAGAUACGGAGAUGGAGGGAAUUUUCAGGUUGGGAUGAAGGCUCCUGCUAAGCAUUAAGUUUCUGAGUGGUUUUUCCUCCCUAGAAAUGAAAGGGUAACUUUGUUCCAUUUGCAUGUGUUAAUUCGGAUAGCUGACCUGUCAAAGUGACCGUGGUGGAUGUAUCUUGCAUCAACAUUUUAAUUCAUGUAGGCGUGUAUGAUAUGACCUCUUGCCACUGAA
This is a non-coding RNA of Physcomitrium patens, 860 nucleotides long. NCBI's taxonomy places the organism in Eukaryota, Viridiplantae, Streptophyta, Bryopsida, Funariales, Funariaceae. The record is from RefSeq and is a predicted model, not a curated record.